ACUUGAAUAUUAGUAGUUAUGGGCUUUAAAUUCAAAGAAUUUGGCGGUAUUUUAGUCUUGUUAGAGGAACCUGUUCUGUAAACGAUACAACACGAAAAAUCUUACUUACUUUUGUUUAACAGUUUGUAUACCGUCAUUAUUAGAUUACCUUCGUAGAGAAAGUUAUUGAAAUUUAAGAAGUUGAAGUAUAUUAGAUCAAGGUGCAGUUUAUAAGUAAGAAGAAAUGGGUUACAAUAAAAUUUAUUUAUACGUAUCAGUAAUUGAAUAGUUUCUGUGAAGGAGGAUUUAAUUGUAACAUAUAAUUUAAUAAGUUAGUGUGAUAUGAGAACUAAAAUAUGUACACAU
RNAcentral lists this ribosomal RNA (345 nucleotides) under Cherax holthuisi. RNAcentral describes it as "partial 12S ribosomal RNA". Lineage: Eukaryota; Metazoa; Arthropoda; Malacostraca; Decapoda; Parastacidae. The record is from RNAcentral.